UACAGAGGUCUCAAGCGUUGUUCGGAUUCAUUGGGCGUAAAGGGUGCGUAGGCGGCGCGGUAAGUCGGGUGUGAAAUCUCGGAGCUUAACUCCAGAACUGCCUUCGAUACUGGCGAUCUCGAGUCCGGAAGAGGUGAGUGGAAUUCCUGGUGUAGCGGUGAAAUGCGCAGAUAUCAGGAGGAACACCAAUGGCGAAGGCAGCACUCUGGGACGUGACUGACGCUGAGACGCGAAAGCGUGGGGAGCAAACAGG
Molecule: ribosomal RNA, 253 nt
Filed under: uncultured bacterium
Lineage: Bacteria
Description: partial 16S ribosomal RNA
Rfam family: Bacterial small subunit ribosomal RNA
Source: RNAcentral